RNAcentral lists this small RNA (800 nucleotides) under Drosophila pseudoobscura pseudoobscura. Its description in RNAcentral is "GA32230". The record is from RNAcentral. Lineage: Eukaryota; Metazoa; Arthropoda; Insecta; Diptera; Drosophilidae.
AGAGUAGCUGAAGGUUGCAGCACGGAAAUCAGUAGCAAGAGCGAUGGUCGGAUGUUGAAGAAGUAAGAAGUAAGGAUCGGGCACAAGUCAGAAAGUGUGCGAGCAGCCAUGGAGGCCAGGUGGAAUUCCGAGCGACUAUUUGAUACCCAACAUGUUAUCGCCGAUUGGAAUGGAGCGCCCGGAAUGGAGAUUUGACGACACUGUGUGACAGCAACAAGCCGAUUUGAUUUUCCUGGGACAACAGAGGCUAAGAGUUGGACAGAAAAAACGAAUUGCGAUGACGAUAGGCAAUGCUGCUGCAGCUGACUCAGCGCAGAUCUACCCUGGUAUACCCUCAAAAUGGCCAAAAAGGACGAGGACGAGAAUGAGAACGCUGCCGGAGCGAGGUAGUGGGCGGAAAGCACCAAAAAGUGGCAAAAAGCGCAAGCGAAAGUCAAAGCAAUUUGCCCUCUUUGCACUCUCCCCGACAUCAGGAAUGGCAUAUGGACUGCAUCUCCCAGGUAAUUGUCUCGAAAUGGGAUUCAAUCCCGCAAAAUAGCAACGUAUGCAGCGGAAUGCAUUGCAAUCGACAGGAUAAGAUACAGAUAGUAUGGCAACUGCAAGAGACUAGUGGGGAAACGUUGGGAGCUGUCCGAUAGAGGAGAUCUUUUACUAAAGAAGAAAGUAGAAUUAUUGUUAUGGAAUGUUAUUGAAAAAGGAACACCGAGUCUUGAUUGCUGAUUGAUUAUUCGACUUCCAUGCGGAACUCUUCCGGAAGAUAGAAGAUAGAAGAGGUGCUCUGAUGUAGGCUACAGGCAAAC